AACUUAUUUGUUAAAGAAACUUAGGAAUACUAUUAAAAUAAAUCUGACAGUGAAUAUUCUAAUUAUAUUCCUAAAAUUUUCCUUCAAGUAUUUAAGCAUCUUUUGGUGGUUCUUAUACAAUUCCAUGUGACAUUUAAAUUGUUGAUAAACUACUUUCUUGAUAAAUCUGACAGUGAAUAUUCUGAUUAUAUUCCUAAAGUUUUCCUUCAAGUAUUUAAGCAUCUUUUGGUGGUUCUUAUACAAUUCCAUGUGGCAUUUAAAUUGUUGAUAAACUACUUUCUUGAUGAAUUUUAUAUUAAUGUAUGAUCUAUUUCCAUUGCAGAAUCAUUAGAUGAUUACUUGUGGCUUUCUUGCAAGUUGUGCAGUUGCUGCCUCAAGCUUGCUGCCUCCCUCUGCCAAAUCUAUCAGCAAAAAAAGAAAAUCAUGUCAGUUUCCUUGAACUAUAUACAUAUGAUUAAUCUAGAAACGCAGUAUGUUGCCAAAAAUCACACACAACUCAAUCACAUAUGCAUUUGAGAUGAGGUAAAAUGCUAUCUGAUUCACAUAGUUCCAAUAUCUCAAGAUGUGGGAUAUGCCUAGCACAAGUGCAUCAGAGUGUUAUAGUUGUUCAGUCUUCAGUGCUUAUUAUUCUAGAUUAA
This 638-nucleotide non-coding RNA is filed under the name Oryza sativa Japonica Group (Japanese rice). The record is from RNAcentral. Lineage: Eukaryota; Viridiplantae; Streptophyta; Magnoliopsida; Poales; Poaceae.